This 483-nucleotide ribosomal RNA is filed under the name uncultured bacterium. RNAcentral describes it as "partial 16S ribosomal RNA". It matches the Rfam family "Bacterial small subunit ribosomal RNA", at positions 30 to 507 of the family's 1533-position model. The record is from RNAcentral.
UUGAACGCUGGCGGCAGGCCUAACACAUGCAAGUCGAGCGGAUGAAGGGAGCUUGCUCCUGGAUUCAGCGGCGGACGGGUGAGUAAUGCCUAGGAAUCUGCCUGGUAGUGGGGGAUAACGUCCGGAAACGGGCGCUAAUACCGCAUACGUCCUGAGGAAGAAAGUGGGGGAUCUUCGGACCUCACGCUAUCAGAUGAGCCUAGGUCGGAUUAGCUAGUUGGUGGGGUAAAGGCCUACCAAGGCGACGAUCCGUAACUGGUCUGAGAGGAUGAUCAGUCACACUGGAACUGAGACACGGUCCAGACUCCUACGGGAGGCAGCAGUGGGGAAUAUUGGACAAUGGGCGAAAGCCUGAUCCAGCCAUGCCGCGUGUGUGAAGAAGGUCUUCGGAUUGUAAAGCACUUUAAGUUGGGAGGAAGGGCAGUAAGUUAAUACCUUGCUGUUUUGACGUUACCAACAGAAUAAGCACCGGCUAACUUCGUG